ACUGGCCCGGAGACACUCACUGCGACGCAAGAGACAGGCCUGAAGAGGCUUAAUGCCUUAUUCGAGGCCUUCUGGCACAAGCUGGAAGAAAAACAGGCCACAGCAAAAACCCAGAGCAAGUACUCACUGAAGACGCAGCCCUUUCGUAUUCGGUCCAGCGGCACGACAAGCCGAAAACUGCAAGCCAGAAAAUGGCGCCAAAGACAGCGCAACACGCCAUCGACACAGAAACAUCGACGCCCACCAUUGAAAGCUACACAAAGCAGGUUGAAGCCAGCCUCAUGCCAGCUAAAACUAAGCCAAGCAAAAGAACCAUGCAGCGCAAGCACCAAUACCCGCAGGACGCAGCUGACGAGGACGAACAGACCUGGAUGCUAUACAGCAUGCCUCUACGUCGGACACACACCAGGAAGCCUAGCAUCAGGUCUCUCAGGACUGGUACCUGUGGCAGCUGAGUUCCCGUGCGGUUCACAGGUCUGGACAGUAACCCUGGAAGGUAUAGGCUGACAGGGGAGGCAUUGGGGGACAUUCUGGGACACAAAGCUUAUGAUCAGCUGUCCACCACGUAUUAACGCUUAAUUCUGGUUCCCAGCUAAGCUACCUUAAACAAAAGAAUGCAGUUUCAUGUCACACUCUGACUAUAUUGAUCGAUCUAUAGCACCUAUAUAAUUGCCAGUUCAUAUAUUAUAUGCUUCACUAGUUUGCUACCUAAGGCAUGCCUCUUACUAUGUCUAAUAAUGUAUCACUGUCAUCUCUCAUCACUUAGAAUCUCCUGUGCUUAGAUUGCGCAGAACCAAACAGAUUAGCUUGAUAUGAUUUGCUGUAUAUUCUACAACCUUUUAAAACGUAUGGACACAACACAGACUAGGAUUUUUUGCUUGCUUAAAGGGAUAGGCUUGAAAUGCGCUCAGCCUCAGAAAUGGCCAGUCUUCAGAUGUUUUGCAUGUACUACAAACAAACUUGUCUUAUCACAUUACCCCUUAACACCAUAAGCAUGUGUCACAAACUACCUUGUUAUCCUUAGCUACUUGUUGUCUAUGAACCAGCUUGUAAUAAUGGAAGCGCACGCUUACUCUCCAUACUCCCUAUAGACAUGUUAGACCUAGCAUGUACCUUAUACCACUUUUAAAAAAAAUUGUGCUGUACACUCGAAUGCCUUGUACCUGUUAUGCUAUGUUUAGCUCUUUGACUUGUCACUGCUGUUGGGGCAUUGCAAGAACAACUGUUACUCUUGUGCACAUAAAAA
Non-coding RNA from Pelobates cultripes (western spadefoot toad), 1246 nucleotides. Lineage: Eukaryota; Metazoa; Chordata; Amphibia; Anura; Pelobatidae. The record is from the annotation of a GenBank genome assembly.